Molecule: ribosomal RNA, 497 nt
Filed under: uncultured bacterium
Lineage: Bacteria
Description: partial 16S ribosomal RNA
Rfam family: Bacterial small subunit ribosomal RNA
Source: RNAcentral
GAUGAACGCUGGCGGCGUGCCUAAUACAUGCAAGUCGAGCGAACAGACGAGGAGCUUGCUCCUCUGACGUUAGCGGCGGACGGGUGAGUAGCACGUGGAUAACCUACCUAUAAGACUGGGAUAACUUCGGGAAAACGGAGCUAAUACCGGAUAAUAUAUUGAACCGCAUGGUUCAAUAGUGAAAGGCGGUUUUGCUGGCACUUAUAGAUGGAUCCGCGCCGCAUUAGCUAGUUGGUAAGGUGACGGCCUACGAAGGCAACGAGGCGUGGGCGACCUGAGAGGGUGAUCGGCCACAUUAGAGCGUGGCCACGGUCCCUACUCCUACGGGACGCAGCAGUCGGGAACCUUCGGCAGUGGUCGAAAGCCUUACGGAGCGGCGCCGCGCGAGUCAUAGCGGUCCUCCGUGCGUAAAGCUCUCUUAUUGGGGAAGAACCAAUGUGUACGGAGCUAUGGACGUCUUGACGGUACCUACACAGAAAGCCCCGGCCAACUACGUG